Molecule: transfer RNA, 76 nt
Filed under: Mycobacterium sp. NS-7484
Lineage: Bacteria; Bacillati; Actinomycetota; Actinomycetes; Mycobacteriales; Mycobacteriaceae
Description: tRNA-Thr
Rfam family: tRNA
About the family: Transfer RNA (tRNA) molecules are approximately 80 nucleotides in length. Their secondary structure includes four short double-helical elements and three loops (D, anti-codon, and T loops).
Source: RNAcentral
GCCACCCUAGCUCAGUCGGUAGAGCAAUUGACCAGUAAUGAAUAGGUCGGGGGUUCGAUUCCCCCGGGUGGCUCCG